Long non-coding RNA from Lucilia cuprina (Australian sheep blowfly), 972 nucleotides. RefSeq lists it as uncharacterized. The transcript is spliced from 7 exons. Lineage: Eukaryota; Metazoa; Arthropoda; Insecta; Diptera; Calliphoridae. The record is from RefSeq and is a predicted model, not a curated record.
GUCUAUUUUGCUUGAAUUGGUUGUAAUUUGAUAUUUUCAUUUGAUUAUAAAAGUGUUUCAUUUGUUUAAAUUAUAAUUUAUUAGUUUGUUUAGUAAAUUUUGGUUAUAAUUAAAUUCAGAGUUUUUUGUUUUAUGUUUUUUUUAAAGUUGGUGUUAAAGUUUUUUCUUUAUUUGUGCAAGAAUUUAUUUGUGAAAAUAGUGAAUGUAUAAUUUUUAUUGUAUUUUUUUAUGGCGACUUCUUUGUUUCAUUUUGCAUAAAGGGGACAUCGAUUAAAUAAUUUAAAAUUUGUAGUUCACGACCUUGCAAACAAACUUCUGAGGUGCACAUCAAGGAUGCUGGUAAAAUUUUUGUAAAUAAGUACAAUCAAGUCAGAAAAAAAUCAAUAUGUGUGGUGUAAAUAUUAAGGAAUCGAUAAUUCUUCGUGUUCUGGGCAUGGAAAUUCAGUGCGGUGUCCGCUGGACUAAACAAAUUCUUCAAGUGUCGAAAGAAGCAUUUAAGUGUCUCGUUGUAAGACAUACUUCGCUCCAUCUGAUAUUCUUACUAUUUACACUAAUUAUGUCUGACCGAAAAUGGAAUACAACUUUAUUAAUUCACUGUUCGAUCUAUACAUUAAUGGAAUGUGCUCAUUUGAAAUUAGGAACUUGUUCCCGAUAUCCGUAUAUUCUUGCGUAACACGCGUGUUUCUUCAAGAACACACCCAUUUGUGGUAGAUUGGCCAGUAGACCACAAAACUUAAUAUAGAGAAUUUCAUUCUUCAAUCUUCACCCGCAUUGUUCGUAUGUGGAAUAAACUUCGUACAGAGCCGGAUCAUUUUAUUGCUUAUUCUUUGAAUUAGCUAUUUGUGGUAUUUUAAUGGAGAAUUGAUAAUUACCAGCAUCUGGAGCCUUGGCCGUAUUUACGUGGAUGCGAAUACCAAAGAUUAGCAAAACCCAUGUUGGCUACUUAACUUCGUAAAAGCAAAAGAAAGAAAA